GAUAGUUGAUGGCGGUCUUAUGA
RNAcentral lists this non-coding RNA (23 nucleotides) under Arabidopsis thaliana (thale cress). The record is from RNAcentral. Lineage: Eukaryota; Viridiplantae; Streptophyta; Magnoliopsida; Brassicales; Brassicaceae.